ACGUAUGGGGCAAGCGUUGUUCGGAAUUAUUGGGCGUAAAGGGCGUCUAGGCGGGGGAUUAAGUUAGAUGUGAAAGCUAUGGGCUCAACCCAUAAACUGCAUCUAAGACUGGUUCUCUUGAGUCCGGGUGAGGAAAGCGGAAUUCCAGGUGUAGCGGUGAAAUGCGUAGAGAUCAGGCAGAACACCAAUGGCGAAGGCAGGUUUCUAACCUAUUACUGACGCUGAGGCGCGAAAGCGUGGGGAGCGAACAG
Molecule: ribosomal RNA, 251 nt
Filed under: uncultured prokaryote
Description: partial 16S rRNA
Rfam family: Bacterial small subunit ribosomal RNA
Source: RNAcentral